GCUGCAUUAGCUCAACUGGUUAGAGCAUUAGGCUUAUAUCCUAAAGGUUAUUGGUUCAAGUCCAGUAUGCAGUA
This 74-nucleotide transfer RNA is filed under the name Candidatus Riesia sp. RNAcentral describes it as "tRNA-Ile". It matches the Rfam family "tRNA". From Rfam's summary of the family: Transfer RNA (tRNA) molecules are approximately 80 nucleotides in length. Their secondary structure includes four short double-helical elements and three loops (D, anti-codon, and T loops). Lineage: Bacteria; Pseudomonadati; Pseudomonadota; Gammaproteobacteria; Enterobacterales; Enterobacteriaceae. The record is from RNAcentral.